GUGUCUGCUGAGACGUCAUCGAGUAGCCGCUAGAAUAUGGCUGAGGCGGUGGACUUGGAGUGUCAAUAAUACCGCUGAGUACCACUGUCUUCCCCUGGUAACCACUGUUGAUGCACCCUUACUCUUACUCUGGCCUCCAAGCAAGGUGACUCCACAAAGCACUGCUGGCAAAGUGAGACAAGAGAAAGAAGCUAAGAACUGGGCAUUGGGAAAAGAAGAAGGAGAAGGAGAAGCAGAAGAAAGAAGAAGCUAAGAAACAGCACAUAACAGAG
Non-coding RNA from Heterocephalus glaber (naked mole-rat), 272 nucleotides. NCBI's taxonomy places the organism in Eukaryota, Metazoa, Chordata, Mammalia, Rodentia, Bathyergidae. The record is from RefSeq and is a predicted model, not a curated record.